AGGCACAGCAACUGCCGUUGUGAGAGCAGGAAGAACAGGUUUCUGCAAAAUAAGCUUAACUCUGUUCUUUGCUUUUUAGUUUUUUUUAAAACUUAUUAGAGAACAGAAAAAUUUCUCAAGAUAUCGUAUCUGACCAAUAAAGCGGAAGGCAGUUUUUCUCAUCCAGAGCAACAAAAUGUCCACACUUGCUCCUAUUCAAAUCUCCUUUAGAAUGGCUGUAAAUGUGCGAAGCUGUGAGGAAAAGAAAUUAAAUCUCCAGUCUGAAGAGCAAACUGGCUAUAUCAACUCUUGAUGAACACUAUUGUGUUAUCAGGAGAAGGAACUUUGACACGCAGAACUGAAUAAAAAAGGCUGGAUAUUUAAAUUAUGUUAUAUAACUCCAGGAAACAAGUUAUCUAUUAAUCUAAUGCCACCAAAAUCCAAGCACAGUGCUAGAGGUUGAUGAAGGGAGUGCUUCAUAAAAUGUGUUACUGCCAAGCUGCACAGGGGAUUGGGGUUUGAGCCAUUUAGCUGUACAGGCUUACAGUCCAUAUUAUCCUGUUGCCCAAUAUUUGUUUGUCUUUUUUUGUUUUUAUAAGAAACUCUGGUUCCCUCCCGCACUCUAAUAACAUCAGUGCCUCUAAGUUUGAACUCUGCUUUGUGUUAGUGCCUUUGAAUGGACAAACUAUGUGUACAAUAAGUAGGUGAUCCCUUUAGAAAUCUGAUGACAGUACAAGUGUGAAUGUUAAGUCAGUUUAUUAUCUUUUUAAUCGCAGUUGGUUUCAGCAAACAUGACCUUUGAGACUGUCUAUUGUAAAGGUCACAAUUACAAUAGAGCCAAACCCUUCAGAGACAGUUUGAAUACCAGUAGCAUCUAUUCACACGAUACAUUCUAUCAGGUAGUAGUCAUUACUCCACAGACAGUGUAAAGCAGGUUUGAAUAAUUAUGUCUGGUUGUUUUUAGAGUUCAAUUAUGAUUGCAUUUACAAACAAUACAUUCAUUAUUUUAAUUACGGUAAUUUACUGUCAACAGUGGCACCAGAAAACUUUUUAUCCUACCAAUAACUAGAAUCACUUCCUGAAAGCACCGUUACCAGUAAGGCGCACAAUUUAGUUAUUUUUAUGUUGUACAUUGACAAAAAUAGAUUUUGGAUGCUGGUAAAGAUUCUUAGUCAUCCAAGUAAUAGUUGUUCCAAAAAAAGUUAAAAAAGUUGAAAAGCAAACCACUGGACUUUGUUUUGCAUGUUUGAAGAUGUUCCGCUUCCCAUCCAGGAAGCUUUUUCAAUUCAAAAUGUCUGGAUAAGCGUUGAGUUCCAAUAUUUACAGAGUAGCCCAACAAAAGCCUUAUUAUAUCUCAGAAAACAUGCAAAUUGAACCAAAAGAACAGGUCUGCCCCUUAAUGUUGAGGAGUCGUUGAGGUCCUGGUUUGUACGGAAAUACCUGUGUAAUACCUAUAUGUAAUACCUGAUACUGGCCUAUGCCUCUCAAAAGGCAUUUUCAGCCUGGCUGACCAGGCAAACAAUAGAUGCUUUAGAUAAAUGGUAAAUGGCAUGUACUUAUAUAG
Molecule: long non-coding RNA, 1543 nt
Organism: Cyprinodon tularosa
Lineage: Eukaryota; Metazoa; Chordata; Actinopteri; Cyprinodontiformes; Cyprinodontidae
Exons: 3
Source: RefSeq, a predicted model, not a curated record